RNAcentral lists this transfer RNA (64 nucleotides) under Acanthobothrium sp. DTJL-2012. Its description in RNAcentral is "tRNA-Lys". Lineage: Eukaryota; Metazoa; Platyhelminthes; Cestoda; Tetraphyllidea; Onchobothriidae. The record is from RNAcentral.
GCUUGUGUAUCCAAGCUUAAGUGCUGGGUUCUUACCUCAGUAAUGUGUGUUACACCCACAGGCU